AUGGCUGCUGGGGGCGGCGAGCCGGCGCUGCGGUCCAAGAGCGUGUGCGUGGUGGGGGGCGGCGUGGCCGGCCUGGCGGCGGCGCGCGAGCUGCGGCGGGAGGGUCACGCCGUCACGGUUAUGGAGCAGAGCGCCGACGUGGGCGGGCAGUGGCUGUAUGACCCCAGGACCGACGGCGAGGACCCGCUUGGCGCCGCGGCGCCGGUGCGCGUGCCCAGCAGCAUCUAUGCUUGCCUCCGCCUCAUCAGUCCGCGCGAGGCCAUGGGCUUCUCCGACAUCCAGUUCUUCCCCAGGGACGGCCCUGGCCGCGACUCGCGCCGCUUCCCAGUCCACGGCGAGCUGCACUGCUACCUCCGGGACUUCUGCGACGCCUUCGGCCUCAUGGACGCCGUCAGGCUCAACACCCGGGUCCUACUCGUCGCCCCGGCACCGACGUCGACGACGACGAUGCGUCAGUGGACGGUGAGGUCCGCGCGGCUCCUCGGCACCACCGAGGAUGAUGAUGUUGCGCAGGAGGAGGAGCAGGAGGAGGUGUUCGAUGCCGUGGUGGUGGCCACAGGCCACUACUCGCAGCCGAUGCUCCCGAGCGACAUCGAGGGCAUGGGGGAGUGGACGCGCCGGCAGCUGCACAGCCACUCGUACCGGACGCCGGAGCCGUUCCGCGGCGAGGCGGAGGUGCACCUUGCCGCGAGCUACGAGGCCACGGCCGCCACGCCGGCCAUGUCGAGGAUGCUGGCCAACCACGGCGACGUGCUGCGCCUGCACACGCGGAUCCACCGUCUUCACGCCGACGGGCGCGUGGAGUUCGCGGACGGCUCCUCCGUCGUGGCCGACACGGUCAUCUACUGCACGGGGUACACCUACUCGUUCCCGUUCCUGGACAUGGGCGGCGCGGUCACCAUCGAUACCGACGGCCACGUCGUCGGCCCGCUGUUCGAGCACGUGUUCCCGCCGUCCCUCGCGCCGUCGCUGUCCUUCGUGGGCGUGGCGAGGAAGGUCCUCAUCCCGUGGUUCUUCGAGGCGCAGGCGCGGUGGGUGGCGCAGGUGCUGUCCGGCCGCCGCGCGCUGCCGUCGGAGGAGGAGAUGCUGCGGUCCGUGGAGGAGCACCUCCGCGCGAGGGAGGCAGCCGGCGUGGCGAGGAAGCACACCCACAACAUCGCCGGCAUCGAGCCUGAGAAGAUGUACGAGUUCGGGGAGAGGUACUCCGACUUGCCGCCGCUGGAGGAGUGGAAGAAGGAGCUGGUCAUGUCCAGCCUCGCCAGUAUGUUGGCCGACGUGGAGACCUUCCGCGACCGUGCCUACGACGACAGCGAGAUCGUGCGGAAGGGCCUGCGGGGAUGGCUCGACUUGGCUGCUCAAGCUCAAGCAAAAUCUAUGGCUGUUGCCGUUGACGUUGAAGCUGAUGAAGACAUGGCGGAUGUAAGUCAUGAGUCAAUGAUGGAUUACUAUCAUAUUGCCAACAAGAUGUUUAAUAGUGAGGAUGAAGGUUAUACAUUCUAUAACAAAUAUGGUCUUGAGAAAGGUUUUAGUGUCCGGAGAAGCUAUGUCGAGUGGGAUGGAUCCAAUUGCCAUAUAAUUUUAAGGAAAUUUGUGUGUAGUCGUGAAGGGGUUCGUGAAGAGAAGCACAUGAAGAGGAAGAUGGAAGAUAGAAAGAGGAGGCCACAGAGUAUAACUCGUGUAGGGUGUAAAGCUAAAUUGGUGAUUGCAAGACAGGAGGAAACAGGAAAGCAGAGCGUGCUCCAAACCGUCGACCAACCGAUCGGCAUGGCUGCUGGGGGCGGCGAGCCGGCGCUGCGGUCCAAGAGCGUGUGCGUGGUGGGGGGCGGCGUGGCCGGCCUGGCGGCGGCGCGCGAGCUGCGGCGGGAGGGUCACGCCGUCACGGUUAUGGAGCAGAGCGCCGACGUGGGCGGGCAGUGGCUGUAUGACCCCAGGACCGACGGCGAGGACCCGCUUGGCGCCGCGGCGCCGGUGCGCGUGCCCAGCAGCAUCUAUGCUUGCCUCCGCCUCAUCAGUCCGCGCGAGGCCAUGGGCUUCUCCGACAUCCAGUUCUUCCCCAGGGACGGCCCUGGCCGCGACUCGCGCCGCUUCCCAGUCCACGGCGAGCUGCACUGCUACCUCCGGGACUUCUGCGACGCCUUCGGCCUCAUGGACGCCGUCAGGCUCAACACCCGGGUCCUACUCGUCGCCCCGGCACCGACGUCGACGACGACGAUGCGUCAGUGGACGGUGAGGUCCGCGCGGCUCCUCGGCACCACCGAGGAUGAUGAUGUUGCGCAGGAGGAGGAGCAGGAGGAGGUGUUCGAUGCCGUGGUGGUGGCCACAGGCCACUACUCGCAGCCGAUGCUCCCGAGCGACAUCGAGGGCAUGGGGGAGUGGACGCGCCGGCAGCUGCACAGCCACUCGGAGGUGCACCUUGCCGCGAGCUACGAGGCCACGGCCGCCACGCCGGCCAUGUCGAGGAUGCUGGCCAACCACGGCGACGUGCUGCGCCUGCACACGCGGAUCCACCGUCUUCACGCCGACGGGCGCGUGGAGUUCGCGGACGGCUCCUCCGUCGUGGCCGACACGGUCAUCUACUGCACGGGGUACACCUACUCGUUCCCGUUCCUGGACAUGGGCGGCGCGGUCACCAUCGAUACCGACGGCCACGUCGUCGGCCCGCUGUUCGAGCACGUGUUCCCGCCGUCCCUCGCGCCGUCGCUGUCCUUCGUGGGCGUGGCGAGGAAGGUCCUCAUCCCGUGGUUCUUCGAGGCGCAGGCGCGGUGGGUGGCGCAGGUGCUGUCCGGCCGCCGCGCGCUGCCGUCGGAGGAGGAGAUGCUGCGGUCCGUGGAGGAGCACCUCCGCGCGAGGGAGGCAGCCGGCGUGGCGAGGAAGCACACCCACAACAUCGCCGGCAUCGAGCCUGAGAAGAUGUACGAGUUCGGGGAGAGGUACUCCGACUUGCCGCCGCUGGAGGAGUGGAAGAAGGAGCUGGUCAUGUCCAGCCUCGCCAGUAUGUUGGCCGACGUGGAGACCUUCCGCGACCGUGCCUACGACGACAGCGAGAUCGUGCGGAAGGGCCUGCGGGGAUGGCUCGACUUGGCUGCUCAAGCUCAAGCAAAAUCUAUGGCUGUUGCCGUUGACGUUGAAGCUGAUGUGCAGGCCAUGGCUAAUUAA
RNAcentral lists this ribosomal RNA (3156 nucleotides) under Triticum aestivum (bread wheat). Its description in RNAcentral is "partial small subunit ribosomal RNA". Lineage: Eukaryota; Viridiplantae; Streptophyta; Magnoliopsida; Poales; Poaceae. The record is from RNAcentral.